Molecule: ribosomal RNA, 459 nt
Filed under: uncultured bacterium
Lineage: Bacteria
Description: partial 16S ribosomal RNA
Rfam family: Bacterial small subunit ribosomal RNA
Source: RNAcentral
CCUACGGGUGGCAGCAGUGAGGAAUAUUGGUCAAUGGCCGGAAGGCUGAACCAGCCAAGUAGCGUGAGGGAAGACUGUCCCAUGGGUUGUAAACCUCUUUUAUCCGGGGGUAAAGGUGUCCACGCGUGGCGGUUUGCGGGUACCGCAUGAAUAAGCACCGGCUAAUUCCGUGCCAGCAGCCGCGGUAAUACGGAGGAUCCGGGCGUUAUCCGGAUUUAUUGGGUUUAAAGGGAGGGCAGGCGGAAGUUCAAGCUUGCGGGAAAAUUGUGUGGCUCAACCUCUAAGUGCCGCGGCGAAUGGUGUUCUUGAGUGAGCGAGAGGCAGGCGGAAUGCGUGGUGUAGCGGUGAAAUGCAUAGAUAUCACGCAGAACCCCGAUUGCGAAGGCAGCAUGCCGGCGCGCUACUGACGCUGAAGCACGAAAGUGUGGGUAUCGAACAGGAUUAGAUACCCGGGUAGUC